UUGAUUACGUCCCUGCCCUUUGUACACACCGCCCGUCGCUGCCCGGGACUGAGCCAUUUCGAGAAACUCGGGGACGAUUAGUGUGUCAGCUUCGGCUGGCGCGCAGAUUGAAACCGAUUUAAUCGCAGUGGCUUGAACCGGGCAAAAGUCGUAACAAGGUAGCUGUAGGUGAACCUGCUGCUGGAUCAUUACCCAA
Molecule: ribosomal RNA, 196 nt
Filed under: Heterodera goettingiana
Lineage: Eukaryota; Metazoa; Nematoda; Chromadorea; Rhabditida; Heteroderidae
Description: partial 18S ribosomal RNA
Rfam family: Eukaryotic small subunit ribosomal RNA
Source: RNAcentral